Molecule: unclassified non-coding RNA, 101 nt
Filed under: Macacine alphaherpesvirus 2
Lineage: Duplodnaviria; Heunggongvirae; Peploviricota; Herviviricetes; Herpesvirales; Orthoherpesviridae
Source: RNAcentral
CGCCUCCGGCGCCGCGGGCCCCUUCUGGGCGUCGGGUUCGCUUCCGGCUCCCGGGGAAGCGUUGUCCGACGCCCGGAGGGCCCCGCGCCCGCGCCCCGGCC